This 18-nucleotide transfer RNA is filed under the name Ameerega bassleri (pleasing poison frog). Its description in RNAcentral is "partial tRNA-Phe". Lineage: Eukaryota; Metazoa; Chordata; Amphibia; Anura; Dendrobatidae. The record is from RNAcentral.
AACAGUCCUAUAAACACA